GGUCUUAUAGUCAAAUUAUGAUAUUAGACUGCAAUUCUAAAGUUGUUUUUAUUAACUAAGGCCU
Molecule: transfer RNA, 64 nt
Filed under: Platycnemis phyllopoda
Lineage: Eukaryota; Metazoa; Arthropoda; Insecta; Odonata; Platycnemididae
Description: tRNA-Cys
Source: RNAcentral